Molecule: long non-coding RNA, 540 nt
Organism: Arachis stenosperma
Lineage: Eukaryota; Viridiplantae; Streptophyta; Magnoliopsida; Fabales; Fabaceae
Exons: 3
Source: RefSeq, a predicted model, not a curated record
CUGAACAGAUUGAGGGAGAGGAGAGCUUCCCAAAUCCUCAUCCAUCCUUCCACCCACCAUAACUUUUUCAUUUGAGUUCCGAUCGCCGUACCGUUUGCGACCACGCGUCCAACGCGUCGAUCUCUACGUUUUCAUCGGAUCAAUUUUAUGGGUGUGAAUUAGGUGGAUAUAUGUGCAUUGGAAUUUAAUUGUGGAUAUUUGGAAGUUUGGUGGAUGAUUGGUGCUAAGAUUUUGGUGGGUUUCUCAAGCUUGCGGGGCUGUAUAUGUGACUAGUGUGGCUGCCUUGGACUAAACAUAGUGAUCGGUCAAGAUGCAGGUCGAGAGGCUCCUCGCUAGGCGUGUAGAUCCCUGAAGAGGAGUAGUCCCUGGGCAUUUUGGGUUUUCAGUUUGUAUAUGUAUGUCCAUAUGUACUAGCUUGCUCUCUAAGAAACUUAAUUAUUUUGUUCCUCAUAGAGGUUACAAGAGAGUUAGGGACCUAUUUCUGUAUUUUGGAUUUUUGGGAUACUUAUGUAUAUAUAUAUGUAAAUAUUCUCCGGCCAG